GGGGAAUAUUGCACAAUGGGGGAAACCCUGAUGCAGCGACGCCGCGUGGAGGAAGAAGGUCUUCGGAUUGUAAACUCCUGUUGUUGAGGAAGAUAAUGACGGUACUCAACAAGGAAGUGACGGCUAACUACGUGCCAGCAGCCGCGGUAAAACGUAGGUCACAAGCGUUGUCCGGAAUUACUGGGUGUAAAGGGAGCGCAGGCGGGAAGACAAGUUGGAAGUGAAAUCUAUGGGCUCAACUCAUAAACUGCUUUCAAAACUGUUUUUCUUGAGUAGUGCAGAGGUAGGCGGAAUUCCCGGUGUAGCGGUGGAAUGCGUAGAUAUCGGGAGGAACACCAGUGGCGAAGGCGGCCUACUGGGCACCAACUGACGCUGAGGCUCGAAAGUGUGGGUAGCAAACAGGAUUAGAUACCCUGGUAGUCCACACCGUAAACGAUGAUUACUAGGUGUUGGAGGAUUGACCCCUUCAGUGCCGCAGUUAACACAAUAAGUAAUCCACCUGGGGAGUACGACCGCAAGGUUGAAACUCAAAGGAAUUGACGGGGGCCCGCACAAGCAGUGGAGUAUGUGGUUUAAUUCGACGCAACGCGAAGAACCUUACCAAGUCUUGACAUCCUGCGACGAUGCUGGAAACAGUAUUUUCCUUCGGGACGCAGAGACAGGUGGUGCAUGGUUGUCGUCAGCUCGUGUCGUGAGAUGUUGGGUUAAGUCCCGCAACGAGCGCAACCCUUACUGUCAGUUACUACGCAAGAGGACUCUGGCAGGACUGCCGUUGACAAAACGGAGGAAGGUGGGGAUGACGUCAAAUCAUCAUGCCCUUUAUGACUUGGGCUACACACGUACUACAAUGGCGUUAAACAAAGAGAAGCAAGACCGCGAGGUGGAGCAAAACUCAGAAACAACGUCCCAGUUCGGACUGCAGGCUGCAACUCGCCUGCACGAAGUCGGAAUUGCUAGUAAUCGUGGAUCAGCAUGCCACGGUGAAUACGUUCCCG
RNAcentral lists this ribosomal RNA (995 nucleotides) under uncultured bacterium. RNAcentral describes it as "bacterial SSU rRNA". It matches the Rfam family "Bacterial small subunit ribosomal RNA", at positions 356 to 1376 of the family's 1533-position model. The record is from RNAcentral.